UGUCUUCUUUUGAGAAGUGUCUACUCAUAUCUUUUGCUCACUUUGUAAUGGGGUUGUUUGGUUUUUCUUGGUAUGAAUUCACUGCCCUAAAAAGAGUGGCGAAACCCAACCAGAGAACCCCUCGAGUUGAAAAGGCCUCAAUUCAAAUUGGAGAGGAUGUCCUGCCCCUCUCCUCUCAGACGCGCCUAGGUCACAGCUUCUUAGGAUAUGCCUGCUUGCCCCCAAUUUUCUUCUUGCAAUGAGAACCUCGACAUGUGGCUCCUUUCUUUUUCUCCUUUUGGAAGCUCCCAGUGCUACAACCAUUCCCAGGGAUACAGGCGCUAGAAAGACAGCCCUGUGGUCAUGACGUAUAAUUUGGGCGCUGGGGCAAAAAAGACUUUUUUUUUUUUGCAUCCGAUUCCAUCACUUCUGCUACGCUUAGCGGGGCUCGUGGAAGAAACACGUGCGUCGCUGAAUGGAGCUGGUCGCUGGUUGCUAUGAACAGGUCCUUUUUGGAUUCACUGUACACCGAGAGCCCGAGAAAUGGACUCCUGUAGCUGACUUCAAUCACCAUGCCCACACUGCCUCCCUGUCAGCAGUAGCUGUAAAUAGUCGUUUCGUAGUCACUGGGAGCAAAGAUGUAACAAUUCACAUUUAUGACAUGAAAAAGAAGAUAGAGCAUGGGGCUCUCAUGCAUCACAGUGGCACAAUAACUUGCCUGAAAUUCCAUGGCAACAGGCAUUUAGUCAGCGGAGCAGAAGAUGGACUCAUCUGUGUCUGGGAUGCAAAGAAAUGGGAAUGCCUGAAAUCAAUGAAAGCUCACAAAGGACAGGUGACCUUCCUUUCCAUUCAUCCAUCUGGCAAGCUGGCCUUGUCUGUCGGCACAGAUAAGACUUUAAGAACAUGGAAUCUUGUGGAAGGAAGAUCAGCAUUCAUAAAAAAUAUAAAACAAAAUGCUCACAUAGUGGAGUGGUCCCCUAGGGGAGAGAAAUAUGUAGUUAUCAUACUGAAUAAAAUAGACAUCUAUCAGCACGACACAGCAUCCAUUAGUGGCACCAUCACAGAUGAAAAGAGAAUUUCCUCUAUUAAAUUUCUUUCAGAGUCUGUCCUUGCAGUGGCUGGAGAUGAAGAAGUUGUAAGGUUUUUUGACUGUGAUUCACUAGUAUGCCUCUGUGAAUUUAAAACUCAUGAAAACAGGGUAAAAGACAUGUUCAGUUUUGAAAUUCCAGAGCAUCACGUUAUUGCUACAGCAUCAAGUGAUGGUUUCAUUAAAAUGUGGAAGGUGAAACAGGAUAAGAAAGUUCCCCCAUCUUUACUCUGUGAGGUAAACACCAAUGCCAGGCUGACAUGUCUUGGAGUAUGGCUAGACAGAGUGCCAGACAUGAAAGCAAGUCUUCCUCCAGUUGCAGAGCCUGCUGUAAGUAAAAUCAGUCCAAAAUCAGCAAAAAGGAAUCUGGAGACUUAGUGCAGGAAGAAGAAAAACAGUCAAAACCUAACACAAAAAAAUGUGAGUUAACUGGUGAUAGUAAUAAACAAACAAAAGGAAAUAACCUGGUAUCGACCAAGAAAAGGAAAAUGGUAUAGAAAUAUUGGAAAAGAAGAGAAAAAAGAAGAAAAUAUAA
Carlito syrichta (Philippine tarsier) is the source of this 1601-nucleotide RNA transcript. It is a transcript of the gene named p21-activated protein kinase-interacting protein 1 pseudogene, with no coding region annotated. NCBI's taxonomy places the organism in Eukaryota, Metazoa, Chordata, Mammalia, Primates, Tarsiidae. The transcript has a single exon. The record is from RefSeq and is a predicted model, not a curated record.